GAGUUUGAUCCUGGCUCAGGAUGAACGCUGGCGGCGUGCUUAACACAUGCAAGUCGAACGGACUCAUAUUGAAACCUAGUGAAGUAUGAGCUAGUGGCGGACGGGUGAGUAACGCGUGGAAAACCUGCCGUAUACUGGGGGAUAACACUUAGAAAUAGGUGCUAAUACCGCAUAAGCGCACAGCUUCGCAUGAAGCAGUGUGAAAAACUGAGGUGGUAUACGAUGGUUCCGCGUCUGAUUAGCUAGUUGGUGGAGUAAAAGCCUACCAAGGCAACGAUCAGUAGCCGGCCUGAGAGGGUGAACGGCCACAUUGGGACUGAGACACGGCCCAAACUCCUACGGGAGGCAGCAGUGGGGAAUAUUGCACAAUGGGGGAAACCCUGAUGCAGCGACGCCGCGUGAGUGAAGAAGUAUUUCGGUAUGUAAAGCUCUAUCAGCAGGGAAGAAAUACUGACCAUAGGGUCAGCAGACGGUACUUGACUAAGAAGCCCCGGCUAACUACGUGCCAGCAGCCGCGGUAAUACGUAGGGGGCAAGCGUUAUCCGGAUUUACUGGGUGUAAAGGGAGCGUAGACGGCAGCGCAAGUCUGAAGUGAAAUGCCAGGGCUUAACCCUGGAACUGCUUUGGAAACUGUGCAGCUAGAGUGCAGG
RNAcentral lists this ribosomal RNA (650 nucleotides) under uncultured bacterium. Its description in RNAcentral is "bacterial SSU rRNA". It matches the Rfam family "Bacterial small subunit ribosomal RNA", at positions 9 to 652 of the family's 1533-position model. The record is from RNAcentral.